RNAcentral lists this transfer RNA (72 nucleotides) under Liparis agassizii. Its description in RNAcentral is "tRNA-Val". It matches the Rfam family "tRNA". Rfam says of the family: Transfer RNA (tRNA) molecules are approximately 80 nucleotides in length. Their secondary structure includes four short double-helical elements and three loops (D, anti-codon, and T loops). Lineage: Eukaryota; Metazoa; Chordata; Actinopteri; Perciformes; Liparidae. The record is from RNAcentral.
CAAAGCGUAGCUAAAUUAGGAAAGCAUCUCCCUUACACUGAGAAGUUACCCGUGCAAAUCGGGUCGCCUUGA